Molecule: ribosomal RNA, 989 nt
Filed under: uncultured bacterium
Lineage: Bacteria
Description: bacterial SSU rRNA
Rfam family: Bacterial small subunit ribosomal RNA
Source: RNAcentral
CCUUAGAGUUUGAUCCUGGCUCAGAACGAACGCUGGCGGCAGGCUUAACACAUGCAAGUCGAACGCCCCUUUCGGGGGGAGUGGCAGACGGGUGAGUAACACGUGGGAACGUACCUCUUUGUUCGGAAUAACUCAUGGAAACGUGAGCUAAUACCGGAUACGCCCUUUUGGGGAAAGAUUUAUCGCAGAGAGAUCGGCCCGCGUCUGAUUAGCUAGUUGGUAAGGUAAUGGCUCACCAAGGCGACGAUCAGUAGCUGGUCUGAGAGGAUGAUCAGCCACACUGGGACUGAGACACGGCCCAGACUCCUACGGGAGGCAGCAGUGGGGAAUAUCGGACAAUGGGGGCAACCCUGAUCCAGCCAUGCCGCGUGAGUGAUGAAGGCCUUAGGGUUGUAAAGCUCUUUUAUCCGGGAAGAUAAUGACUGUACCGGAAGAAUAAGCCCCGGCUAACUUCGUGCCAGCAGCCGCGGUAAUACGAAGGGGGCUAGCGUUGUUCGGAAUCACUGGGCGUAAAGGGCGCGUAGGCGGACGAUUAAGUCAGGGGUGAAAUCCCGGGGCUCAACCUCGGAAUUGCCCUUGAUACUGGUUGUCUUGAGAUUGGAAGAGGUAAGUGGAAUUGCGAGUGUAGAGGUGAAAUUCGUAGAUAUUCGCAAGAACACCGGUGGCGAAGGCGACUUACUGGUCCAUAUCUGACGCUGAGGCGCGAAAGCGUGGGGAGCAAACAGGAUUAGAUACCCUGGUAGUCCACGCCGUAAACGAUGGAUGCCAGCUGUUGGGGAGCAUGCUCUUCAGUGGCGCAGUCAACACAUUAAGCACCCCGCCUGGGGAGUACGGUCGCAAGAUUAAACUCAAAGGAAUUGACGGGGGCCCGCCAAGCGGUGGUGCAUGGGGUUUUAAUCGAAACAACGCCGAAAAACUUACCAGCUCUUGGAAUCCCGUGCUACUUGGAGAGAAUCCAUGGUUCCCUUCGGGGAAGCGAAAACGGGUGC